AAAGGCGAAGCCCGGGGGACUGGAGAGACUUCCUCCCCUCCCUCUGCACGUGGGGUGGCUGAUGUAAGACCUUCCUUGGGGGCUUCCCGGGCCCCACCUCGCUGCUCCCGGACGCGGGUGUUCGCCCGCGAUUGGACGUUUGCAGGAGGGGCUGGGGGGAGGCUUUACAGUCCGACUUCGGGGGUCCGUAAGGCCAGGUCCGACCGCGGAGGCUGGACCAAGCCAGCCCGACGCCGCGAAGGCGGGACACGUGCAGGGAGCGCGGGACACGCGGCUUUCACCUUCUUCCCACCGUGUGGGUCAACAGCCAGAACCUUGCCGUCUCCUUGGACGAUGGUCGUGGAAGUGCUACGCGGACCCCCGUCAGGAGCGCUGUACCGCGUGGCACCGGGUGGAGUCGGCCUUCUCGGAGGCGGCUCCGGCCACUUGCCCAAGCCACAGAGAAGCCCAGCGUCCCCGAGUUCAGUAGAAUCUCCCUGGGUUUCUAACAUUUAAAUGUAGGCUAGCAAGGCAGCAAUUAGCAUUUCUAAUGGAGCUUUGGAGUUUUACAGAGUUUUCCCGAAGACUUUUAUCCCAUUAUUCCUUAGGGGACCCCUGUGAGGUGUGUAAAUUCUUGUUGGUCUCGGUUUGGGUGAAGCUUGGCAGGUAGCCUUUGUAAUGAUCUGGUUCAGAGAGCAUCCUGAGAUCCAGGGUUAGAGCACUAAGUUUUGCUCAGGAGGUUUGCUUUGCAGACCUGCUAGAGUAAUAUAAGGUUAUAGUCAGCAUAAUGUAAGUAAAUAUGUCAUGUGUCUAAAAUUCUAAUAUAGACAAAAGGCUCGAGAGAUUGGGAACAACGUGUGAAUAAACAAUUCUAUGCAUCAACCUAAGGCUUUCUUUGAGACUCUCCCCUCUCAUUUUACCUGCGACAAACACAACCACUUAUAUCAAUUUUUAAAAUGUGUAAUUAAAAUAAAGUUCUUAAAAGGCUUAUGGAAAAAGGCAGGAACUUUCUAGUAUGUUGUCUCCCAACUCUCGUAUUUAAAAUGUUGGUCUUAGCAGACAUCUCUGUGACAGAGAAAACGGUGAGGGAAGUACUCUUCAGGGUGUCACACGAUGUCUAACACAAGGUUAUGAGUACCGCGGGGCCAUGAGAUGGAGGCUUUCUGGAAAAACUAGCAACUCAGUUCCUAACAAGCAAUGAUUGAUCAUCCCCUUUUAGGGCUUGAUAUGUUCUUUUUCAUUUAACCAAAGACAGCCCUGUGAAGUAGAUAGUAUUUUAAUCAUUUUCCAGAUGAGGAACUGAACCUUAAGCUGCAUGUCCAACAAGAGGUGGAGCUAGGCUUUAAACCCAGAUGGGUCUAACGCCAAAGCCUGCCUUCUUUUCUGCUACACCAUCAGCCUGACUGGAAUGAAGUCCUAGAACGAGGGCCUGAUUUGGAACGGGAGGUCGGGAACACUUGUAGAGGACCUUUAGGAGUCCGAACUAUGGAUGAAUCUCUUUUUUACUUCUAUUGACAUUCAUGUUUGCCUGGUAAGUUAUGAAAAAUAUCAAAUAAUGCCCAGUGUUUGGCACUCCUUUUAGUUUUAAAACUGCCUGUUGACCAGAAUAUGUGUGUCUCCCAAUAAGCUCCAAAUGGAGGAGAACACUAAUUUGUAACUCCCUGGGCCUGCUUUCCACUCCACCGCCUCAGCAUCAAGCAGGUCAUCCAUCAAACCACCAGCUGACCCGAGCCUUCCCCAAAUUUUGUGGCUGGCAACAAGCUUUAAUAAAUCUGAAGUUGAGACAAAACGGCCCCAUUCAGCCAUCAAUUUAACUGGCUUGGAUACCAGCUUGGCAGAAUGGCCCCCUUUCUCUUUUAUAAAGACAAUAUAUAAAGCUAAUGGAUACUUAGGGUGAAGAAAGGAUUGCUUUUUAAAAACGAAAUACUUCCAUUCUGACACUCCUCUGCUGUACACAUGCGCACUCGUUGCUGAAUCGUCCCUCUGACGUUCCGUAGCCUGGUGCGUGUACCUGUUACAGCAGUUAGGCAAUACAUGGACAUCGUCGAAGGAUCUAAAAUUUCACCUAGACUGUGAGCUCACAUGCAUAUUUCUGGAUGAUGUAAAUGGAGAGUAGGAGCCUGGGCCAUCUUUAAAGCAUAGGUGGUCUGCGAAUGUGUAUUAUAUUGAAAAUAAUGCUGCACAUCCUCAAGAAUACUAUCUAAGCAGCUGGGGUUGUUGAGACAAGGGGAAGGGGAGAGAGAGGCAAAUAGAUGGAAAUUGGGUAAGGAAUGAGAUUCUGUAAGUCUCCAGAUGGUAAAAACAGAGGAGGGGAGAGUGUCAGGUGUGUAGGCAGUUGUAGGUCUAGUCAAGGGGCCCUUGCCACGGGAACCCGAGUCCUUCCUGCUCUCUGAAGUAGGCUCUGAGGCCUUCCUCGGGCAGCAAGGAAGAGCUAUGACUACCAAGAAUCAGGUUUACGAUUUAUUAAGUGCCAUCUUGAUGCCAAGUAUCAUGCUUGGGACUUUCACGUAUAUUGCAUUUCAGUUAAUCCUGGCAACAGCUCACUGGGACAAGACUAUAAUCCCCUCGUGUUGUUUAGGAAAUAGACUCGGAGAAGCCAAGUGGAACUCACAUAGCUAGUAAGAAUCUGGGUUUCUCUGUCGUCAUGGUCUCGCUAUAAUUCAUUCUCAAUACUUUGAUCCACUAGUCCUCACAACUGCUUCUAAAAAAUCUUUUGAUUUCUUUGCUUCAAAGAAGCAAAGACGUACAUGCUCGUGUGUCAGGGGAGCAGGGGAAGAAAAACACAGAAAAUAAAAUUAAAAAAUUAAAUUCCUACCAUUGAGAUACACCCACUACUAAAGGUGUAGAUCCUUGCAGCUUUUUUUCUAUAUUACGCAUAAUUUUGAAAAAAGAGUAUUAGGAUCAGAUAAGAUGUUUUUGAAACUUGUUUUUCCACCUACUAUUGUGAAGAAUGAGUUACUAUGACAAAUAUGAAUAUUAAUUUUGCUCAAUGUUUUUCCCUUUUUAGAGAAAGACUCUAACGAGGCUUUUGGACAAACCACAUAACCUCUCUGGGACUCAGGCUGCUCACCUCAGGACCGCGGUGAGGGGUAGACGUAGUCAUGUGGGUGAGCUCCUGCCCGGCGCAGUGCCUGCCACAGCCCCUGCGCGCCCCCACCCCUCCCUUGCCCUAAGUAGAGGCCCAGAGCUUGCUGGCCUCCUCAGGGGCUACGCAGAAGCUCUGCUGUCCUCCACCUCUGCUCCGUGUCCUUCGUUUCCUGUCCCCUGUUGACUGAGGAAAGGGCUCACCCCAAACCCUCUAAGUUGACUCUUCAAAGGGGUGGACUCUUUUUCUGUUUCAUGAAGUCCGUGGUCUCUCGUCACAAACUGGGACUGUGCUCCUGAGCUAGACUGGACAAUAGUCUGAGUGGCCCCACAGUGUUCGAUAUGCGUUCCCUCCAUAAUUAGCCAGUGUCCCCCCCAUCUGGACUCUUCUAUCUGACAGGGACUCCUUGUCCACACAGAACUGUCCAAGAGCCCUGCCCCUGUUGCCCGAACUUUCCCCUCUGUUCUGAGCUUGCUUUGUCGACUUUAGUCCAGCCAGAGGCCCUUGUUGGCGGUGCUAGGUGGUCCUCGCUCACUCUAGACUCGGCCACUCCUGGCAUAAUUUGCUAGUCUCAUUUUGGUAAAGGCCAACACUUUACUUUUAAAAAAAAAAAGAAAUUAUUUAGUUAUUUUUAGAGAGA
Long non-coding RNA from Phyllostomus discolor (pale spear-nosed bat), 3704 nucleotides. RefSeq lists it as uncharacterized. The transcript is spliced from 2 exons. The record is from RefSeq and is a predicted model, not a curated record. Lineage: Eukaryota; Metazoa; Chordata; Mammalia; Chiroptera; Phyllostomidae.